GACGAACGCUGGCGGCGUGCUUAACACAUGCAAGUCGAACGGAAAGGCCCUGCUUUUGUGGGGUGCUCGAGUGGCGAACGGGUGAGUAACACGUGAGUAACCUGCCCUUGACUUUGGGAUAACUUCAGGAAACUGGGGCUAAUACCGGAUAGGAGCUCCUGCUGCAUGGUGGGGGUUGGAAAGUUUCGGCGGUUGGGGAUGGACUCGCGGCUUAUCAGCUUGUUGGUGGGGUAGUGGCUUACCAAGGCUUUGACGGGUAGCCGGCCUGAGAGGGUGACCGGGCACAUUGGGACUGAGAUACGGACCAGACUCCUACGGGAGGCAGCAGUGGGGAAUAUUGCACAAUGGGCGGAAGCCUGAUGCAGCAACGCCGCGUGCGGGAUGACGGCCUUCGGGUUGUAAACCGCUUUCGCCUGUGACGAAGCGUGAGUGACGGUAAUGGGUAAAGAAGCAACGGCUAACUACGUG
RNAcentral lists this ribosomal RNA (468 nucleotides) under uncultured bacterium. RNAcentral describes it as "partial 16S ribosomal RNA". It matches the Rfam family "Bacterial small subunit ribosomal RNA", at positions 28 to 507 of the family's 1533-position model. The record is from RNAcentral.